AUCCAGCUGACGAGUCCCAAAUAGGAAGAGACAAGCGUCCUGGAU
Molecule: non-coding RNA, 45 nt
Organism: Schistosoma margrebowiei
Lineage: Eukaryota; Metazoa; Platyhelminthes; Trematoda; Strigeidida; Schistosomatidae
Source: Rfam